Non-coding RNA from Perkinsus marinus ATCC 50983, 72 nucleotides. The record is from the annotation of a RefSeq genome assembly. NCBI's taxonomy places the organism in Eukaryota, Perkinsozoa, Perkinsida, Perkinsidae.
GCCUUUGUAGUCUAGUGGUAUGAUUCCCGCUCUAUAUGCGAGAGGUUCCGAGCUCAAUUCUCGACACAGACU